Molecule: ribosomal RNA, 1033 nt
Filed under: Rhodococcus (subgen. Prescottella) equi
Lineage: Bacteria; Bacillati; Actinomycetota; Actinomycetes; Mycobacteriales; Nocardiaceae
Description: Prescottella equi bacterial SSU rRNA
Rfam family: Bacterial small subunit ribosomal RNA
Source: RNAcentral
GGGGUACACGAGUGGCGAACGGGUGAGUAACACGUGGGUGAUCUGCCCUGCACUCUGGGAUAAGCCUGGGAAACUGGGUCUAAUACCGGAUAUGAGCUCCUGUCGCAUGGCGGGGGUUGGAAAGGUUUACUGGUGCAGGAUGGGCCCGCGGCCUAUCAGCUUGUUGGUGGGGUAAUGGCCUACCAAGGCGACGACGGGUAGCCGGCCUGAGAGGGCGACCGGCCACACUGGGACUGAGACACGGCCCAGACUCCUACGGGAGGCAGCAGUGGGGAAUAUUGCACAAUGGGCGAAAGCCUGAUGCAGCGACGCCGCGUGAGGGAUGACGGCCUUCGGGUUGUAAACCUCUUUCAGCAGGGACGAAGCGAGAGUGACGGUACCUGCAGAAGAAGCACCGGCCAACUACGUGCCAGCAGCCGCGGUAAUACGUAGGGUGCGAGCGUUGUCCGGAAUUACUGGGCGUAAAGAGCUCGUAGGCGGUUUGUCGCGUCGUCCGUGAAAACUUGGGGCUCAACCCCAAGCUUGCGGGCGAUACGGGCAGACUUGAGUACUGCAGGGGAGACUGGAAUUCCUGGUGUAGCGGUGAAAUGCGCAGAUAUCAGGAGGAACACCGGUGGCGAAGGCGGGUCUCUGGGCAGUAACUGACGCUGAGGAGCGAAAGCGUGGGUAGCGAACAGGAUUAGAUACCCUGGUAGUCCACGCCGUAAACGGUGGGCGCUAGGUGUGGGUUUCCUUCCACGGGAUCCGUGCCGUAGCUAACGCAUUAAGCGCCCCGCCUGGGGAGUACGGCCGCAAGGCUAAAACUCAAGGAAUUGACGGGGGCCCGCACAAGCGGCGGAGCAUGUGGAUUAAUUCGAUGCAACGCGAAGAACCUUACCUGGGUUUGACAUAUACCGGAAAGCCGUAAAGAUACGGCCCCCCUUGUGGUCGGUAUACAGGGGGGUGCAUGGCUGUCGUCAGCUCGUGUCAUGAAAUGUUGGGUUAAGUCCCGCAACUACCGCAACCCUUGUCCUGUGUUGCCACGGCGUAAUGG